GUGCGUCAGUGCGGGGGGAACCGCAUUCCAGAGUGGGCGGCAUCCUGGAAUGCGAUCCCCCCGGUAACAAGAAUUC
Molecule: microRNA precursor, 76 nt
Filed under: Apis mellifera (honey bee)
Lineage: Eukaryota; Metazoa; Arthropoda; Insecta; Hymenoptera; Apidae
Description: microRNA ame-mir-6065 precursor
Source: miRBase by way of RNAcentral